AGAGUUUGAUCCUGGCUCAGGAUGAACGCUAGCGGCAGGCUUAAUACAUGCAAGUCGUGGGGCAGCAGGGGUAGCAAUACCCGCUGGCGACCGGCAAACGGGUGCGGAACACGUACGCAACCUUCCUUUAACUGGAGAAUAGCCCCUCGAAAGAGGGAUUAAUACUCCGUAACAUAUUGAUAAGGCAUCUUAUUAAUAUUAUAGUCUUCGGGCGGUUAAAGAUGGGCGUGCGCCUGAUUAGAUAGUUGGUGAGGUAACGGCUCACCAAGUCUGCGAUCAGUAACUGGUGUGAGAGCACGACCAGUCACACGGGCACUGAGACACGGGCCCGACUCCUACGGGAGGCAGCAGUAAGGAAUAUUGGUCAAUGGACGCAAGUCUGAACCAGCCAUGCCGCGUGGAGGAUUAAGGCCCUCUGGGUUGUAAACUCCUUUUAUCUGGGAAGAAAUGCCAUUUUUCUAAAUGGUUUGACGGUACCAGAGGAAUAAGCACCGGCUAACUCCGUGCCAGCAGCCGCGGUAAUACGGAGGGUGCAAGCGUUAUCCGGAUUCACUGGGUUUAAAGGGUGCGUAGGCGGGCAGGUAAGUCCGUGGUGAAAUCUCUGAGCUUAACUCAGAAACUGCCAUGGAUACUAUUUGUCUUGAAUACUGUGGAGGUAAGCGGAAUAUGUCAUGUAGCGGUGAAAUGCUUAGAUAUGACAUGGAACACCAAUUGCGAAGGCAGCUUACUACACAGUUAUUGACGCUGAGGCACGAAAGCGUGGGGAUCAAACAGGAUUAGAUACCCUGGUAGUCC
This 795-nucleotide ribosomal RNA is filed under the name uncultured bacterium. Its description in RNAcentral is "bacterial SSU rRNA". It matches the Rfam family "Bacterial small subunit ribosomal RNA", at positions 8 to 796 of the family's 1533-position model. The record is from RNAcentral.